CUUUGACGGUACCUAACGAGGAAGCCCCGGCUAACUACGUGCCGGCAGCCGCGGUAAUACGUAGGGGGCAAGCGUUGUCCGGAUUUAUUGGGCGUAGAGCGCGCGCAGGCGGUCUAUUAAGUCUGAUGUGAAAGCCCACGGCUCAACCGUGGAGGGCCAUUGGAAACUGGUAGGCUUGAGUGCAGGAGAGGAGAGCGGAAUUCCCGGUGUAGCGGUGAAAUGCGUACAUAUCGGGAGGAACACCCGUGGCGAAGGCGGCUCUCUGGCCUGUAACUGACGCUGAAGCGCGAAAGCGUGGGAAGCAAACAGGAUUACAUACCCUG
Molecule: ribosomal RNA, 323 nt
Filed under: uncultured bacterium
Lineage: Bacteria
Description: bacterial SSU rRNA
Rfam family: Bacterial small subunit ribosomal RNA
Source: RNAcentral